AUUGAACGCUGGCGGCAUGCCUUACACAUGCAAGUCGAACGGUAACAGGGAGCUUGCUCCGCUGACGAGUGGCGAACGGGUGAGUAAUGUAUUGGAACGUACCUUUUAGUGGGGGAUAACGUAGCGAAAGUUACGCUAAUACCGCAUAUUCUCUGAGGAGGAAAGCAGGGGACCUUCGGGCCUUGCGCUAAUAGAGCGGCUGAUAUAAGAUUAGCUAGGUGGUGAGGUAAAGGCUCAGCAAGGCGACGAUCUGUAGCGGGUCGGAGAGGAUGAUCCGCCACACUGGAACUGGGACACGGUCCAGACUCCUACGGGAGGCAGCAGUGGGGAAUUUUGGACAAUGGGGGCAACCCUGAUCCAGCCAUGCCGCGUGAGUGAAGAAGGCCUUAUGGUUGUAAAGCACUUUAAGCGAGGAGGAGGCUCUUUUGGUUAAUACCCAAGAUGAGUGGACGUUACUCGCAGAAUAAGCACCGGCUAACUCUGUGCCAGCAGCCGCCGCAG
Molecule: ribosomal RNA, 501 nt
Filed under: uncultured bacterium
Lineage: Bacteria
Description: partial 16S ribosomal RNA
Rfam family: Bacterial small subunit ribosomal RNA
Source: RNAcentral